GAUCGCUGUGAUGCGGGUGGUUCGCCGCCCGUGACUCUGCGAGAAGUCCAUUGAACCUUAUCAUUUAGAGGAAGGAGAAGUCGUAACAAGGUUUCCGUAGGUGAACCUGCGGAAGGAUCAUUGUCGAGACCGGAUUACAUUGAGCGAUUUUGAUAACCUGUUGAAAUAAGGUGGAAAUUACUGCCGUGAAAAAUCCAUCCCACUCGUUGCCUCAUCGCCAUUAUGGCAGGGAGGAGCGAUGUUGGAUGGAUGCACACAUAAAACGGCGCAGCGUUGCGCCAAGGGAAAAACGAAAAAUGAGCCCUUAAAUGGGUUUGGGGGAAGGGUUGCGGCAGCACCCCACCUGGAUUGACACGACUCUCGGCAAUGGAUAUCUCGGCUCUUGCAUCGAUGAAGAGCGCAGCGAAAUGCGAUACGUGGUGCGAAUUGCAGAAUCCCGCGAACCAUCGAGUCUUUGAACGCAAGUUGCGCCCGAGGCUAUCCGGCCAAGGGCACGUCUGCCUGGGUGUCAUGCGUUAUGUCGCUCCUUGUCAAUGCCUUUCCAUCGAUGGGUGGGAGGGUGAAGGCUUGGAUGUGCAGAGUGGCUCGUCGUGCCCCUCGGUGUGGCGAGUUGAAGAGCGGGUCAUCAUCUCGUUGGCUGUGAACAAUAAGGGGUGGAUUAAAGCGAGGCCUAGGUUAUUGUUCCGUAUACGCCCGAGAGAAGAUUAAACUUUUUUUUGUGAUCCCAAAUCAUAUGUCAGAUGGCGUUUGGAAUACGACCCCAGGAUGGGCGAGGCCACCCGCUGAGUUUAAGCAUAUCAAUAAGCGGAGGAUAAGAAACUUACCAGGAUUCCCCUA
RNAcentral lists this ribosomal RNA (837 nucleotides) under Dendrobium parcum. RNAcentral describes it as "eukaryotic LSU rRNA". The stretch from base 356 to 511 matches the Rfam family "5.8S ribosomal RNA". The record is from RNAcentral. Lineage: Eukaryota; Viridiplantae; Streptophyta; Magnoliopsida; Asparagales; Orchidaceae.